UUCGCCCUUAGAGUUUGAUCCUGGCUCAGGACGAACGCUGGCGGCGCGCCUAACACAUGCAAGUCGAACGGAGCUUAAAGAGCUUGCUUUUUAAGCUUAGUGGCGAACGGGUGAGUAACGCGUGAGUAACCUGCCCUGGAGUGGGGGACAACAGUUGGAAACGACUGCUAAUACCGCAUAAGCCCACGGAUUCGCAUGGAUCUGCGGGAAAAGGAUUUAUUCGCUUCAGGAUGGACUCGCGUCCAAUUAGCUAGUUGGUGAGGUAACGGCCCACCAAGGCGACGAUCAGUAGCCGGGCUGAGAGGUUGACCGGCCACAUUGGGACUGAGAUACGGCCCAGACUCCUACGGGAGGCAGCAGUGGGGAAUAUUGGGCAAUGGGCGCAAGCCUGACCCAGCAACGCCGCGUGAAGGAAGAAGGCUUUCGGGUUGUAAACUUCUUUUGUCGGGGACGAGUAGAAGACGGUACCUGGCGAAUAAGCCACGGCUAACUACGUGCCAGCAGCCGCGGUAAUACGUAGGUGGCAAGCGUUGUCCGGAUUUACUGGGUGUAAAGGGCGUGUAGCCGGGAAGGCAAGUCAGAUGUGAAAUCCACGGGCUUAACUCGUGAACUGCAUUUGAAACUACUUUUCUUGAGUAUCGGAGAGGCAAUCGGAAUUCCUAGUGUAGCGGUGAAAUGCGUAGAUAUUAGGAGGAACACCAGUGGCGAAGGCGACCUACUGGGCACCAACUGACGCUGAGGCUCGAAAGCAUGGGUAGCAAACAGGAUUAGAUACCCUGGUAGUCCAUGCCGUAAACGAUGAUUACUAGGGGUGGGAGGAUUGACCCCUUCAGUGCCGCAGUUAACACAAUAAGUAAUCCACCUGGGGAGUACGACCGCAAGGUUGAAACUCAAAGGAAUUGACGGGGGCCCGCACAAGCAGUGGAGUAUGUGGUUUAAUUCGAAGCAACGCGAAGAACCUUACCAGGUCUUGACAUCCGAUGCAUAGCGCAGAGAUGCGUGAAGUCCUUCGGGACAUCGAGACAGGUGGUGCAUGGUUGUCGUCAGCUCGUGUCGUGAGAUGUUGGGUUAAGUCCCGCAACGAGCGCAACCCUUAUUGCCAGUUACUACGUAAGAGGACUCUGGCGAGACUGCCGUUGACAAAACGGAGGAAGGUGGGGAUGACGUCAAAUCAUCAUGCCCCUUAUGUCCUGGGCUACACACGUACUACAAUGGCGUUUAACAAAGAGAAGCAAGACCGCGAGGUGGAGCAAAACUCAAAAACAACGUCUCAGUUCAGAUUGCAGGCUGCAACUCGCCUGCAUGAAGUCGGAAUUGCUAGUAAUCGCGGAUCAGCAUGCCGCGGUGAAUACGAUCCCGGGCCUUGCACACACCGCCCGUCA
This 1382-nucleotide ribosomal RNA is filed under the name uncultured bacterium. RNAcentral describes it as "16S ribosomal RNA". It matches the Rfam family "Bacterial small subunit ribosomal RNA". The record is from RNAcentral.